GAUGAACGCUGGCGGCGUGCCUAACACAUGCAAGUCGAACGGAAGGACAGUAAGAUUGUGCUCUUACGGGUGGCGGAUGGCGGGUGGGUAACGCGUGUAUCGGCUUCUUAUUUUUCGGGGAGGAUCACGUAAGUAAGGUUACGAUAAUAUAGCAUAUGAUGUACCGGUGAGGGCAGGGGAUAUUCGCGGCUUGCGUGUUUGAAUUAGCUGCUGCCGGACUAGCUAGUUGGGGGGGUAAGGGCCUAGCAUGGCGACGAUACGUAGCCGGACUGAGAGGAUGAUCGGCCACACUGGAACUGAGACACGGUCAAGACUCCUACGGGAGGCAGCAGUGGGGAAUGUUGGGCAAUGGGCGCAAGCCUGACCCAGCCAGACCGCGUGGGUGAAGAAGGCCUUCGGUUCGUAAAGCCCUUUUGUUGGGAAAGAACAGCUGUAGAAUGAAACGACGCGGUUUUGACGGUACCUAAUAAAGAAGCACCGGCUAACUACGUG
RNAcentral lists this ribosomal RNA (492 nucleotides) under uncultured bacterium. RNAcentral's name for it is "partial 16S ribosomal RNA". It matches the Rfam family "Bacterial small subunit ribosomal RNA", at positions 28 to 507 of the family's 1533-position model. The record is from RNAcentral.